GCGACUCGGGCUGUGCGCGGUCACCACGGCCACCGCCGGCGACUUCCCACAGGGACGCUGCGUCCCCACCCCCACCUCGCAGAAGGGCGAGCCAAUCAGAAGCGACAAGAGGUGUCACCCUGGGUAGUGCCCCGUGGAUGCGCCGCCCUCAGCCCAGGGCAGCCGCGCCUCUGCGCCUCGCCCGCGCGUCGUGGCUUUCAUAAGGGGGUGGCGGGUGGCGGUGGCGGUGGCGGUGGCGCAGGCUGCUGCCGUGAUGGUCCUCGCUGGGAAAGACGCGCGAUCGCCGUCGGGGAGGGAGCGGGAGCCCGCAGAGCCCCCUGGUUGGCGCUGCCCCGCGGGAUCCCCAUCGGAGCCCCAGGAGCCACUCAGCGAGAGAGACGGCGGGCGGGGCUGCAGGACGUGCCCCCCGGGCGGGAGGAGCCCUGGCGCUGGAGCCCUCCCCCCUCUGCUGCCACCUGGGUCCUGGAAGUGCAGGAGGGAUGCUUGGUGGGGCGCUGGGCGGGCAGGGGGCACCUAGCCCCGCGGAGAGGGGAGACCCCAGACUGGGGACAAACCCGUGAGCCCGACCCCAGAGGGGCGCCGGCCAGUCAGAAGUGGCUCAAGUAGCGGUGGGCCUGCCUCUGCUCCCCGAGCUGCCAGGAGUGCAUUUCCAGGAAGCACAUCCUUUCCCAGGAGGGCCCCAGUGGCCGUGUGGCCUCGCACCAGGGAGUAGAACCCGAGCCAGGGCACAGGCCCGCACUCAUGCUGUGUUCCGGUUCCUGGGCUUCCUGAGCUCCCGCCAGAGCCCGCGUGUCAAGGCCAGACCGGGGAGAGCAGCACAGAAACACUGCCUGCCAGGGAAUACACAGAGCCUCAGAAAGAUUAGCCACAUCAGGUAGGGUGUUAAGUAGCCACGUGGGCAGGGAGAACAGAGUCUGCUUUUCUCCCUCAGAAUUCAGAGAAGUGGAGUAAAGAUUGUUUGCUGAAAGCUGGCCAGUGUAUAACUUUUAAAAUCAGCUGCUGUUGGGCACCUGGGUGGCUCAGUGGUUUAGUGUCUGCCUUUGGCUCAGGUUGUGAUCCCGGGGUCCUGGGAUGGAGUCCCACAUCGGGGUCCCCACAGGGAGCCUGCUUCUCCCUCUGCCUGAGUCUCUGCCUCUCUGUCUCUCAUGAAUAAACAAAAUCUUAAAAAAAAAAAAAAAAAAAGAUCAGCUAUUGUUGACCGAGCAGCAAACCUGUGGGCUCAGGUGGGGCACAAGUGGGGCAGAAUGGAGGCAGUACACACAAAGAAACCAGCCCCUGACACUUCACUCAUGCUUCCGGAUUCAGCUGUGCUUCAGGCUGGACCUGCCCCUCCCUCAAGAAGUCAUGGCAAGCUGCUCUGGUUCUGCAGUUCAGGACCUCCAAAGACCACUCUCACGUUCAGCGCUCAGACAGAAGGAUAACCCCAGCUUGGUGAUGCUGUUGCACUCAUGGUUACACCUAGUGCAGCGAAAUGGCACAGGCUAAAAAAUCAGCAAUGGGCAGCAGUACACAGGGUGGGGUCCAGGAGCAACCAGCCCUAGUCCUCCCCCUCCUGGGGUCACAUGGACAUGGCUGAUCUGACUCCAGCCACCAGAGGUCAGGCUGACGCCAUGUGGCCCAAGGCCCCAGGUAAUAAAGACAGGAGUCAGGCCGGACAUCCCCAGGGCCUAGAGGCCACCUCUUAGCACGGCAAAACCAGCCCUCUCUUUGGGCCAGUCCAUCCUUAUGGGACCUUCCUGAGACCACCACAUGACAAACAGUGUGGGGUACACACUCAGGAACCCUCAACAGUCUGGAGCACACCAUUGAAUCAGUCCAGUCUCUAGAUCAAGCCAUGCCUGAAGCCAGUACCCAGUCUUUUCUUAGUUGCUGAGCAGAAGUGUCCCUUUAUCGUUUAAAUCAGUGUGAGGACACCUACCUUAACAUAUUCCUAGAGGGAUCCCUGGGUGGCGCAGCGGUUUGGCGCCUGCCUUUGGCCCAGGGCGCGAUCCUGGAGACCCGGGAUCGAAUCCCACGUCGGGCUCCCGGUGCAUGGAGCCUGCUUCUCCCUCUGCCUGUGUCUCUGCCUCUCUCUCUCUCUCUCUGUGUGUGACUAUCAUAAAUAAAUAAAAAAAUUAAAAAAAAAAAACAUAUUCCUAGAGCCCAAAGGUCUGCAUUUUCUGAGCGCGUGUGGUCUAAAUAUAUGUAAAUUCUGUUACCCUUCCCACUGAGAGUGGGGUUUAUGUCUGUCCCUUCCCUUGAAACUGGGAUGGCUUUGGGACUAUCUCAACUAGGAGGC
Molecule: long non-coding RNA, 2278 nt
Filed under: Canis lupus familiaris (dog)
Lineage: Eukaryota; Metazoa; Chordata; Mammalia; Carnivora; Canidae
Description: lncRNA (ENSCAFG00845027718.1)
Source: RNAcentral